UACUUUGGUGGUUCAGUGGUAAAGUGUUUGUUUUUCUACAUAAGAUUCUUAGGUUCAAGUCCUAGUAUGGUAU
Molecule: non-coding RNA, 73 nt
Organism: Rhododendron molle
Lineage: Eukaryota; Viridiplantae; Streptophyta; Magnoliopsida; Ericales; Ericaceae
Source: the annotation of a GenBank genome assembly